AUCAACUUUCGAUGGUAGGAUAGAGGCCUACCAUGGUGGUAACGGGUAACGGGGUGUUAGGGCACGACACCGGAGAGGGAGCCUGAGAAACGGCUACCACAUCCAAGGAUGGCAGCAGGCGCGCAAAUUACCCAAUCCCGACACGGGGAGGUAGUGACAAUAAAUAACAAUACGGGGUUCUUUCGGAUCUCGUAAUUGGAAUGAGUACAAUUUAAAUCUCUUAACGAGGAACAAUUGGAGGGCAAGUCUGGUGCCAGCAGCCGCGGUAAUUCCAGCUCCAAUAGCGUAUAUUAAAGUCGUUGCAAUUAAAAAGCUCGUAGUUGAAUUUCGGGGUUAGUAGGUUGGUCAUGCCUCUGGUAUGUACUGGUCUCACUGAUUCCUCCUUCCUUAUGAACCGUAAUGCCAUUAAUUUGGUGUUGCGGGGAAUUUGGACUGUUACUUUGAAAAAAUUAGAGUGUUUAAAGCAGGCUAACGCUUGAAUACAUUAGCAUGGAAUAAUGAAAUAGGACGUUCGAUCUUAUUUUGUUGGUUUCUAGGAUUGACGAAAUGAUUAAUAGGGAUAGUUGGGGGCAUUAGUAUUCAAUUGUCAGAGGUGAAAUUCUUGGAUUUAUUGAAGACUAACUACUGCGAAAGCAUUUGCCAAGGAUGUUUUCAUUAAUCAAGAACGAAAGUUAGGGGAUCGAAGACGAUCAGAUACCGUCGUAGUCUUAACCAUAAACUAUGCCGACUAGGGAUCGGAUGAUGUUAAUUUUUUAAUGACUCAUUCGGCGUCUUACGGGAAACCAAAGUGUUUGGGUUC
This 799-nucleotide ribosomal RNA is filed under the name uncultured Glomus. Its description in RNAcentral is "SSU rRNA". It matches the Rfam family "Eukaryotic small subunit ribosomal RNA", at positions 314 to 1114 of the family's 1831-position model. Lineage: Eukaryota; Fungi; Glomeromycota; Glomeromycetes; Glomerales; Glomeraceae. The record is from RNAcentral.